CAAAGACUGAAUAUGUUUCCUGUGGAAUAAAAUAAAUGCAUCUGCUGAGGGACAGUCAGUGAGUGUGUCUGUGUCCAACUCUUCCUCACAUGUUAGUUAAUGACAGACAGUCAGUGAGUGUGUCUGUGUCCAACUCUUCCUCACAGGUUAGUUAAUGAUGUUACUGAGUCAAUGUGAGCAGAUUGUGUCUGUAGACUGAAGAGAAUCAGAGUCUCACUGAUGGUGGAAAUAAAGGUUUUACUUCCUUAAAACA
Dicentrarchus labrax (European seabass) is the source of this 253-nucleotide long non-coding RNA. RefSeq lists it as uncharacterized. The record is from RefSeq and is a predicted model, not a curated record. The transcript has 2 exons. Lineage: Eukaryota; Metazoa; Chordata; Actinopteri; Moronidae.